CAGAGGUCCCAAGCGUUGUUCGGAUUCAUUGGGCGUAAAGGGUGCGUAGGUGGCAUGGUAAGUCGGGUGUGAAAUCCCGGGGCUCAACCCCGGAACUGCACUUGAUACUGCCGUGCUCGAGUACUGGAAAGGAGACUGGAAUUUACGGUGUAGCAGUGAAAUGCGUAGAUAUCGUAAGGAAGACCGGUGGCGAAGGCUAGUCUCUGGACAGUUACUGACACUGAGGCACGAAGGCCAGGGGAGCAAACGGGAUUAGAUACCCCGGUAGUCCUGGCAGUAAACGGUGCGCGUUUGGUGUGGGAGGAUUCGACCCCUUCCGUGCCGGAGCUAACGCGUUAAACGCGCCGCCUGGGGAAUACGAUCGCAAGAUUA
RNAcentral lists this ribosomal RNA (372 nucleotides) under uncultured organism. RNAcentral's name for it is "bacterial SSU rRNA". It matches the Rfam family "Bacterial small subunit ribosomal RNA", at positions 526 to 896 of the family's 1533-position model. The record is from RNAcentral.